Molecule: non-coding RNA, 220 nt
Filed under: Metabacillus indicus
Lineage: Bacteria; Bacillati; Bacillota; Bacilli; Caryophanales; Bacillaceae
Description: Bacillus cibi T-box sequence
Rfam family: T-box leader
About the family: Uncharged tRNA acts as the effector for transcription antitermination of genes in the T-box leader family. T-boxes are found upstream of many aminoacyl-tRNA synthetase genes and some amino acid biosynthetic genes usually in Gram-positive bacteria. The anticodon of a specific tRNA base pairs to a specifier sequence within the T-box motif, and the NCCA acceptor tail of the tRNA base pairs to a conserved bulge in the T-box antiterminator hairpin.
Source: RNAcentral
AGCGUAACGUUGAUGGGAAACACAGUAAUCACAUUGUCCCUGUUUUAGAGAGCUGACGCAAGGUGAAAGUCAGUACACACAAUGCGGAUGAAUUUCGGUCCCUGAGUUUUUAUUUCGACCUGACGGAAGGAAUGAACGGGUUGUCCCGAUAUCGACUUAAGAGCCGGAGAGUAUUGUAUUCUCAACUAGGGUGGUACCGCGAUGAACAGUCGCCCCUACA